Long non-coding RNA from Lolium rigidum, 406 nucleotides. RefSeq lists it as uncharacterized. The record is from RefSeq and is a predicted model, not a curated record. The transcript has 3 exons. Lineage: Eukaryota; Viridiplantae; Streptophyta; Magnoliopsida; Poales; Poaceae.
GGAGAGGGAAGAGGGCCUACCAAGUUCAGAUUUUAUUCUCACGAAGUUCACCAGCUACUGGAGCCUCUUGUCAAUGAUAACCUGUUGUUGCAUUGCAGCAUGUUGCAGCCCACCAGGAAGUUCGCCAUGCGGGCGUCGGGAGUCAACACGUCUUUGAACUGUGAAGGGAUAGUUGGACUCCCUGAGUUGCCUCUGAACUCCUCCUCGCCGCCGUGUUCUGAGAAGGCAACUCCAGCGGCAAACUGAAGGAUGCAGCCCCAUUCAUCGCCCAAAAUGUCAGGGCUGGAUCUAGCUCCUCCGUUGCCUCUGCUCCUGCCUCAGCAGCACAGUCACUUCAUAGCUUCUUCGCCAGCGGUUGUGGAAUAAUUCAUCGCCUGUUCGGACAAAGUGGACAUAAUGCUAUGCU